GGUUUUAUAUUCAAUUAUGAUCUUAAAUUGCAAAUUUAAAGGUGGAGUAAAUUCCUGAAACCU
This 63-nucleotide transfer RNA is filed under the name Hermerius intermedia. Its description in RNAcentral is "tRNA-Cys". Lineage: Eukaryota; Metazoa; Arthropoda; Insecta; Coleoptera; Cerambycidae. The record is from RNAcentral.